Molecule: small RNA, 670 nt
Filed under: Pan troglodytes (chimpanzee)
Lineage: Eukaryota; Metazoa; Chordata; Mammalia; Primates; Hominidae
Description: retained intron
Source: RNAcentral
GCGGUGCGCCGGCCCGCGGGGAAACGCGCUCUUAGACCAUGGCGACCCAGGCGAAGCGUCCACGGGUGGCGGGGCCCGUGGACGGCGGCGACCCGGAUCCUGUGGCCUGCUUCCUGAGCUGGUGCCGGCGGGUGGGGCUGGAGCUGAGUCCCAAGGUGAGCGAGCGAGCCGGCGGGCGGAGGACCCGCGGCGGGGCGCGGGCUGCCCUGACCAGCCCUCCUCCUGCUCAGGUGGCGGUCAGCCGGCAGGGCACGGUGGCCGGCUACGGCAUGGUGGCCCGGGAGAGCGUGCAGGCCGGAGAGCUGCUGUUCGUGGUGCCGCGGGCCGCGCUCCUGUCGCAGCACACCUGCUCCAUCCGCGGCCUGCUGGAGCGAGAGCGAGUUGCGCUGCAGAGCCAGUCGGGCUGGGUGCCACUGCUGCUGGCGCUGCUCCACGAGCUGCAGGCCCCGGCCUCACGCUGGAGGCCCUACUUUGCGCUCUGGCCCGAGCUGGGCCGCUUGGAGCACCCGAUGUUCUGGUGAGAGCCUUGGGAGGGGUUGGGGAGCGCCUGCACCGUAGCCUGCUGCAAGAACAGUUUCCCCGCCCCUGCACCAGUCCUACCCAGUAAAGUGUGUGAAGGAAUGAAGGGAACCUGGGUGUGGGUGUCCCUGCAGGCCAGAGGAGGAGCGCC